This 404-nucleotide ribosomal RNA is filed under the name uncultured bacterium. Its description in RNAcentral is "bacterial SSU rRNA". It matches the Rfam family "Bacterial small subunit ribosomal RNA", at positions 355 to 775 of the family's 1533-position model. The record is from RNAcentral.
CAGGGAAUAUUGCGCAAUGGACGGAAGUCUGACGCAGCGACGCCGCGUGGAUGAUGAAGGCCUUCGGGUUGUAAAAUCCUUUUCAGGGGGAAGAGUGAGGACGGUACCCCUGGAAUAAGCGUCGGCUAACUACGUGCCAGCAGCCGCGGUAAGACGUAGGACGCGAGCGUUAUCCGGAUUUACUGGGCGUAAAGCGUCUGUAGGCGGAAGUGUAAGUUGGACGUGAAAGCUCCGGGCUCAACUCGGAGAGGCCGUUCAAUACUGCACAACUAGAGGCUAUCAGAGGGGCGUGGAAUUUCCGGUGUAGCGGUAAAAUGCGCAGAUAUCGGAAGGAACACCAGUGGCGAAGGCGGCGCCCUGGGGUGGGCCUGACGCUAAGAGACGAAAGCUAGGGGAGCGAACAG